RNAcentral lists this ribosomal RNA (423 nucleotides) under uncultured bacterium. RNAcentral's name for it is "bacterial SSU rRNA". It matches the Rfam family "Bacterial small subunit ribosomal RNA", at positions 358 to 773 of the family's 1533-position model. The record is from RNAcentral.
GGAAUAUUGGACAAUGGGCGCAAGCCUGAUCCAGCCAUGCCGCGUGUGUGAAGAAGGCCUUCGUGUUGUAAAGCACUUUUGUAAGGGAAGAAAAGCACUCGGUUAAUACCCGGGUGUCACGACGGUACCGUAAGAAUAAGCACCGGCUAACUUCGUGCCAGCAGCCGCGGUAAUACGUAGGCAGCAAGCGUUGUUCGGAAUUACUGGGCGUAAAGCGAGUGUAGGCGGUUUGCCGUGUCUGCUGUGAAAUCUCCCGGCUCAACUGGGAGGGUGCGGCGGAAACUGGCAGGCUAGAGUGCGGAAGAGGAAAGUGGAAUUCCUGGUGUAGCGGUGAAAUGCGUAGAUAUCAGGGGGAACACCUGUGGUGAAGACGGCUUUCUGGACCGCCACUGACGCUGAGACUCGAAAGCGUGGGGAGCAAAC